Molecule: ribosomal RNA, 450 nt
Filed under: uncultured bacterium
Lineage: Bacteria
Description: bacterial SSU rRNA
Rfam family: Bacterial small subunit ribosomal RNA
Source: RNAcentral
GAUGAACGCUGGCGGCGUGCUUAACACAUGCAAGUCGAGCGAAGCGCUUUGGAAAGAUUCUUCGGAUGAUUUCCUUUGUGACUGAGCGGCGGACGGGUGAGUAACGCGUGGGUAACCUGCCUCAUACAGGGGGAUAACAGUUAGAAAUGACUGCUAAUACCGCAUAAGACCACGGUACCGCAUGGUACAGUGGCAAAAACUCCGGUGGUAUGAGAUGGACCCGCGUCUGAUUAGGUAGUUGGUGGGGUAACGGCCUACCAAGCCGACGAUCAGUAGCCGACCUGAGAGGGUGACCGGCCACAUUGGGACUGAGACACGGCCCAGACUCCUACGGGAGGCAGCAGUGGGGAAUAUUGCACAAUGGAGGAAACUCUGAUGCAGCGACGCCGCGUGAAGGAUGAAGUAUUUCGGUAUGUAAACUUCUAUCAGCAGGGAAGAAAAUGACGGUAC